RNAcentral lists this ribosomal RNA (373 nucleotides) under uncultured bacterium. RNAcentral describes it as "bacterial SSU rRNA". It matches the Rfam family "Bacterial small subunit ribosomal RNA", at positions 523 to 898 of the family's 1533-position model. The record is from RNAcentral.
AUACGGAGGGUGCAAGCGUUGUCCGGAUUUAUUGGGUUUAAAGGGUGCGUAGGUGGCCCCUUAAGUCCGUGGUGAAAGCCUGCCGCUUAACGGCAGAACUGCCAUGGAUACUGAGGGGCUUGAGUCCAGACGAGGUUGGCGGAAUGGAUGGUGUAGCGGUGAAAUGCAUAGAUACCAUCCAGAACCCCGAUUGCGUAGGCAGCUGACUAGGCUGGUACUGACACUGAGGCACGAAAGCGUGGGGAGCGAACAGGAUUAGAUACCCUGGUAGUCCACGCCGUAAACGAUGGAUACUCGCUGUGGGCGAUACACAGUCCGCGGCUUAGCGAAAGCGUUAAGUAUCCCACCUGGGGAGUACGCCGGCAACGGUGAA